ACUACGCAGCAUGACUCGGAUCCUGACGGCGUGCUUUAGACAUGCAAGUCGAACGAGAAAACCCUUUGGGGUUAGUAAAGUGGCGAACGGGUGAGUAACACGUGGGCAAUCUGCCCUUCGUUGGGGGACAACCGGGGGAAACCCCGGCUAAUACCCCGUAAGCUUGCUAGGUCACCUGACCUUGCAAGGAGAGGUAGCUUCGGCCAUCCGGCGAAGGAGGAGCCCGCGGUACAUUAGCUUGUUGGUGAGGUAACGGCUCACCAAGGCGACGAUGUAUAGCUGGUCUGAAAGGAUGAUCAGCCACACUGGGACUGAGACACGGCCCAGACUCCUACGGGAGGCAGCAGUCGGGAAUCUUGCACAAUGGGCGAAAGCCUGAUGCAGCAACGCCGUGUGAGCGAUGAAGGCCCUAGGGUCGUAAAGCUCUGUUGUUAGGGACGAAGGGCGAAGGGUUAAUAGCCCUUAGCCUGACGGUACCUAUCGAGGAAGCCCCGGCUAAUUGGGCGUAAAGCGCGCGCAGGUGACGUAGGGGCGAGCGUUGUCCGGAAUUAUUGGGCGUAAAGGGCGCGUAGGCGGCUUGGUAAGUCUGCUGUGAAACCUUGGGGCUCAACCCCAAGCGUGCAGUGGAUACUGUCAAGCUAGAGGAUGGUAGAGGCCAGUGGAAUUCCCGGUGUAGCGGUGAAAUGCGCAGAUAUCGGGAGGAACACCAGUAGCGAAGGCGGCUGGCUGGGCCAUUCCUGACGCUGAGGCGCGAAAGCAUGGGGUUUCCGCCCUUUAGUGCUGAAGGGGAGCGAACAGGAUUAGAUACCCUGGUAGUCCAU
This 821-nucleotide ribosomal RNA is filed under the name Actinomycetales bacterium. RNAcentral describes it as "bacterial SSU rRNA". It matches the Rfam family "Bacterial small subunit ribosomal RNA", at positions 1 to 798 of the family's 1533-position model. Lineage: Bacteria; Bacillati; Actinomycetota; Actinomycetes; Actinomycetales. RNAcentral also lists the same sequence under 1 other name. The record is from RNAcentral.